AACACUUAUGUCAGUAGACUUGGAGUAAAGCAGAUUACCCUCCAAAUGUGGGUGGCUUCAUCCAAUCAGUUGAAGGCCUUAGGACAAAAAGUCUGAGGAUCCUCUUCAGACUCCAGCUGCAACAUCAGCUCUUCCCUGGGUAUUCAGCCUGCCAGCUUGUCCUGCAAAUUCAGACUCGACAGCCUCUACAACUGUGAGCUAAUUUAAAACAAUCUUUCUUUCUCUUUUUCAAAUCCCUCACUAAUGCAUCAUGUUUUGUGUUCAGCCAUGUUUCAAGCUAUUUGACAAUUCUCUCUUAUCCGUAUAUAUGGAAGAUACAAUGCUGUAGGCUCAUCAUACCAUACCCUUUUCCUGCGAACACAGGAGGACCCCAUCUUCUAGCCUCUCUUACAGUUAUGUUGGACCUAUGUGACUGGAUUCUGGCCACUGGAAAAGCAACAGUGGAUGUAACACAAGUUACUUUCAAGCCUAGCCCUUAAAAGCAUCUUGCCAAACCCUUCAACUCUCUGUUACAAAGCAGCCUUGAAAGCCAUGUAUUCUAGGUGGCAUACGAACAUGAUAAAGAAAGCAUGUCAGACCUAUAUGAAACCAGAGUAAGCAAUAAUUUAUUCUUUAUUAUGUUCAGGGACUGAGAUAUAGGAGUUAAUUUCUCACUGCAGCAUAGCCUAGCAUUUCCGUACUAAUACCCUGCAUCAGUUGGGUUGCUGUGAGCAGUAUGAGAAAACCCAGAGUCAGACUGGCCUCAACAAUAUGGAAAUGCAUCAACUCACAUAACAGGAAGAGCAAAGGUUAGACAGAUUUCAUGACUGGUUGGUUAUGCAGCUCAAUGAUGUGACCGAAGGCUAUCUUUUCUUAGAUGUCUCUUCUUUGUGUUCCUCAGCAUUUCAGCUUCAUCUUCAUGCUAGUUCCCCCUUAUAUUCAUCUGACAGGUGUCACAGAAACAAAUUUCACAUCAUGGUCAUCUCAUUUCCCUAGAAUACCUCCACUGUCCUUCCACUUGUCUCAUUUGAUGGAAUUGAAUACACACACCUAUCCCUAAACCAUCAAUGGCAAAGGGAUUGGGAACACUCAUUGUCUUAAAUAAAUCAGGAUUGUUAUCUGAGAUUAAAGGUAAAUUAGCCCUCUUCUGAGUCAUGAAGAAAGAAGUGAAUGUAUGAACCAAAUCAAGCCUCUUCAAAGAGUGCAUACCAAACUCAAGGUCUUUGGGAUAUUAAGGCUUGAUAUUACACCCUGGAACUCUUGAGAAAUCACUACCUAAGCCAUUUAAAUUAAACCAUCUUGACCAGGCUCCCCUCCCAUUCCUCUAGGGAGAAGAGCAUAUAUAUGUAACUGCCAGAAUCAUAUUACUACGUUGAAUGACAGGGUCAGGGCAGAACAUAUGCAUCCUGAGGCUUGAGCCGUACCCUAACCCUGAAAUAGUUUCUUUGACCGCAAGCCGUCAGUGAUUCUUCUCUGCAAUAAAUAGUGGAGACAAGACUAGUUUUUUGACUAAAUUCUCCAAAGGGGUGAAACAGGCAAUCAGGUAAAAUAUAAAACACCUUACUGAAAAUUAAUACAAAAAUGCCCUGAUUUUAGCAUCAUACAAUAGACAAAUAUGUUUGAAAACACAUGCUGUCUGUUAUACUUUAACACGGCACAACAGGAGAAUUGGGAGUGAGGCUGGAGACAAAGAUGGGAAAAAUAAAGAAAUAACCUUAAUGACAGAAUGCUGUCUUGCUUCACAAAAUUAAUUAAGUCCUCCAUUGCACGAGAGCCACAUAAUCUCUGCUCAAAAAGAUUAACCCAAUUUAUACCAAUUAACCCAAAGCAAAUCUAGCUUUUUGUAUGCUUAACAGGAGCAUACAUAUAAGAAUGCCACACAUCAGGAUUAAAGGGGAGUCACAGUAAUUCUACUUUACUGUAUAAGCAUUAAAGCAGCAGUAGUACAUUAUCUAUUUUGUUGUUUAGCAUAAAUGUUGAUUUUUAAGAAGUGAAGAAGGUAAGGUGGAGUCCACGGUCUUGGCUUUUAUCUACAUGCCAAUCCUAUGAGAGGCUUGGUGUGAAGUGGAAAGUGUUGAAGUGGUUGAAAGGUUAGCCUUUCUAGCUUAAAAAAAUCUGUCAAUUAUUGCCAUUGUGACAUUUAGUAAUUCAAUCAAACUUUCUUAAGUUCAGUUGCUGUGUCUAUAUAUAAAGUAACAACAAUGGAUAUAUUCCCAUAAACUUCAUAGAGUUAAGUAAAAAUCAUCACAAAGUCAAAAAAAAUGAGCUGAUAUAAAUUAUCACUGACACGGAAUACUUGAUCAAACAUUUAUGGUCUCAAAAUUAUUGCUUAUUCAUUAGGAUAUUCAUUCGUAUUUAGUGUCCGGCAGCUCAAAAGCCUAUUCCCUUGUUACUAUUCAGUUCCUACUAAUGAAGGACCCACUCUUAUACUCAAGGUAGUCAGGAAGAGACAGAAGUUACAGCAGUUUUCAUUUCAUCAUGAACUUUUGGCAAAGGGUGAGCAUGAACUUUUGGCAAAAGGAAGUGUUGGAAAUAAUAAGAUUAUUCUUAAGAUACCACUCCUUGGCUUUCUAUGGAAGAAGUAUCAUUUCCAGUGUAAGAUAACAAUCUUUAUUCAGAGUUAAAAUCCUACCCUGAAGAAACAAAGAACUGGA
This 2633-nucleotide long non-coding RNA is filed under the name Homo sapiens (human). Its description in RNAcentral is "HSALNT0174391". Lineage: Eukaryota; Metazoa; Chordata; Mammalia; Primates; Hominidae. The record is from RNAcentral.